This 406-nucleotide ribosomal RNA is filed under the name uncultured bacterium. RNAcentral's name for it is "partial 16S ribosomal RNA". It matches the Rfam family "Bacterial small subunit ribosomal RNA", at positions 29 to 526 of the family's 1533-position model. The record is from RNAcentral.
AUUGAACGCUGGCGGCAGGCCUAACACAUGCAAGUCGAACGAGUGGCGGACGGGUGAGUAAUGUCUGGGAAACUGCCCGAUGGAGGGGGAUAACUACUGGAAACGGUAGCUAAUACCGCCUACCCUCGGAUGUGCCCAGAUGGGAUUAGCUAGUAGGUGGGGUAACGGCUCACCUGGGCGACGAUCCCUAGCGGAGCUGCGAGGAUGACGGGCCACACGGGACCGGAUACACGGUCCAGACGCCUACGGGAGGCAGCAGGGGGGAACAGUGCACAAUGGGCGAAAGCCUGCGGCACACAUGCCGCGUGUAUGAAGAAGGCCUUCGGGUGGUAAAGUACGUUCAGCGAGGAGGCGUUACUCGCAGAAGAAGCACCGGCUAACUCCGUGCCAGCAGCCGCGGUAAUUC